Molecule: long non-coding RNA, 2102 nt
Organism: Bos taurus (domestic cattle)
Lineage: Eukaryota; Metazoa; Chordata; Mammalia; Artiodactyla; Bovidae
Source: Ensembl
CGUAACCGCCGGUCCCUGAGCUCGUCCCAUCAGUUGCUCAACAACCUGCAGCCUGGUGCAGUUUCCACAAUCGAACCAUGGAGCCCGGGGCAAAAUACCGAGCAGCCCCAGCGUAGACACCCCCAGCACACGCGUCCAGGAAUUAUAACCAGAGCGCAGAGAAGGCAGCGGGAGGGUGGAGACCCCGGCCAAGGAAACAACGAAAAGUCUCCUUCCCCCUUUUCUUCUGCUACACAGCCAUGAAGAAAAGCGACGGGGUGGUGGGGUGGCGGGGGGAGCCAAAUGCUUGUCUUCCUUUACGUUUCCUCGCUUCACACACACCAAGGGAGUAAAAACGGAGCAAAGAGUGGAGGGUUCAAAUGUCUCUCCCAGUCCACAGUUGCACAACUUCGGAGUCAGGCUCUGGCUCCAGCAGCAGCCGAGGGACCCCAGCGGCAGCUAUUAACAUGCGGCAGUCAUAGCUGGGGCUGCUUUUCCUCCUGCUGCUGCUACCGCUUAAGGAAACACGCUGCUGAAGAGACCAAAAAUCUGCCACCAUCCCCCCAGUCGAUCUUUAUAUCCAGUUCUCCCACCCCACCCCCUUUCUUUUUCUUCUUCUUCCUCGUCCUCCCCUUUCCGCUGGAGAGCGGGAGCGAUGGAAAAGGUAGGGGGAGCCGCGAGGGCUAGGGGUGGAUCCUUCUCCGCCAAACCCUCCUCCUUCUCCUCUCGGGGUUCUCUCGCCGCCGAGGGUCUCCCCCACGCGUCCGAAACCUCCGCCGAGAGCGGGAGCGAGGGACCCACAAACUCCUUCCCAGGUGCACAGCGGGGGCUUGCCGGCGGAGCGGGAGCCCGGCCGCCUAGGGCUGCUUCCCGGGGGCCGCGGAGCCCCGAGCCCGGAGGGUGGCUGAUUAGCUCGUCGGCCCGGCCGGGCAGCUGCGGACAUGUGGGAGCUUCAUCGCGCGGCCCCGGGCUCGGCGCUGCCGCCGCUGCCUCCGCCGCCUCUUCGCUUCGUUCUCUUCUUCGACUCCCCGCGAGGGAGCAAGGUUCUGGCGCUCUCCAGACACGCACACUCACACACACGCACACACGAGCGAGCUUCUGCCAAAGCCAGCCGUGCAACCCGCGCGCGCGCACACCCGGAGAAAGAGGACGGAGGCAAAAAGAGAAGAAAGAAAGGGGAGGGGGCGAGUCACAGGCGGCAGCUGCGGGAGCUGAGGCCACGAGCAGUCCGGGAAAAGGCGGCAGCGGCUGCGGCGGCGCCCACCCGGACCAGCGGCACCUUCUGCAUCCCCGCUCCUGGGAACUGGGGCGAGCAGACAACCGGGCGACGCGCCGAGAACCGGUCGGAGCGCGGGCGCGCCGAGGCCGAGCAGCCUGCGUGCCGCGGACGCAGCCGGGGCCCUAGCCGAGCCCAGAAUGAGCCGCGGGCAAGCGAGCGCCGAGAGCCGAAGAGGGGGCUCGCGCCGCGAGAAGGGGUGGCGGGAGGCAAAACCCGGAUCUGGAGUGCGCUCGGGCUCCGCCGCGCGGGCUCCACCUAGCAGCUCGACAAACGCUUGGAGAUGUCACUUCUACAGAAAUAAACAGAGGUAUGGACAAGGCUUUUGCACAGUGGCAUACCUCUCAGUUGUAAUUGUUGUAUAAAGAAAAUCUCAUCAAGUGUAAGGAGAUGUAACCUAAGGUAUUGGAGGAAGGAGUGGUAGAUACCUAAGAAUAGCUCCUUUAACCCUGAUUCCACCACAUGGGAUGCUAACAUAAGUCUGUCCUGUCUUCCAGCAGCUGGAUUCCAGGGUAUCUUUUGAGAAAUGUUGACCUCUGGACUUGCAUUAUACAGAAAUGAAAGAAAUGUGUGUGUGUUUUUAAAAGUAGUGAUUAAGGGUUUGUCAGGCUUUCUACUAUUCUUUCAUCAUGUACUGAAACCUAUGAAAGUGACAAAGUGUGUCACUAGAAGGCUUUUGUUAAAAUGUAAACAAGUAAGAUAUUCUUAAUGAUGUGCUUAAAAUUUUCAAACCAGUAACUAAAAAAAAAUUUUCCCAACUUUUUAAAUUGAAGUAUAGUUGAUGUACACUGCUAUGUUAUUUUUCAGGUGUACAAUGUACUGAUUGGACAUUUAAAUAAAUACAUUA